This is a long non-coding RNA of Bubalus bubalis (water buffalo), 357 nucleotides long. RefSeq lists it as uncharacterized. Lineage: Eukaryota; Metazoa; Chordata; Mammalia; Artiodactyla; Bovidae. The transcript has 2 exons. The record is from RefSeq and is a predicted model, not a curated record.
CUUAUAAAAGUGAAGCAGAGGAGUCAGAUGACAGAAGCAGAGAGACAGGGAGAAUGUGAUUUGAAAACGCUCUACCACUGGCUUUGAAGAUGGAGGCAAAGGGCCGUGAGUCAAGGGCCUCUACAGGCUGCUUCUGGAAGCUGGAAAGGACAAGAAAACAGAUACUUUCUCGGAGACUUCAUAAGAACCAGGACUGCUGGAACCUUAACUUCAUCCCAGUGAAAUAUAUACAGAAUUUUGGCCUCAUGAACUGGCAGAAUCCCAAAUGGGAGUAAAACACUUAAGGCUGCUGGUCUGGGGUGGCAGGAUCCAGGAGGAAGAUCAAAGGGCUUCAUAAAAUAAAAGGUUGCCAACCUA